Molecule: non-coding RNA, 21 nt
Filed under: Caenorhabditis elegans
Lineage: Eukaryota; Metazoa; Nematoda; Chromadorea; Rhabditida; Rhabditidae
Source: RNAcentral
UUUUUUUCUGGCAUUAAAUGG